Molecule: ribosomal RNA, 494 nt
Filed under: uncultured bacterium
Lineage: Bacteria
Description: partial 16S ribosomal RNA
Rfam family: Bacterial small subunit ribosomal RNA
Source: RNAcentral
GACGAACGCUGGCGGCGUGCUUAACACAUGCAAGUCGAACGGUGAAGCGCCUUCCUUUUUGGUGGGUGUGGAUGAGUGGCGAACGGGUGAGUAACACGUGAGUAACCUGCCCCCUUCUUCUGGAUAACCGCAUGAAAGUGUGGCUAAUACGGGAUAUUCUGGGUCUGUCGCAUGAUGGGUCUGGGAAAGAUAUUGUUUCGGUGGGGGAUGGGCUCGCGGCCUAUCAGCUUGUUGGUGGGGUGAUGGCCUACCAAGGCGGUGACGGGUAGCCGGCCUGAGAGGGUGGACGGUCACACUGGGACUGAGACACGGCCCAGACUCCUACGGGAGGCAGCAGGGGGGAAUAGUGCACAAUGGGAGCAAGCCUGAUGCAGCGACGCCGCGUGAGGGAUGGGGGCCUUCGGGUUGUGAACCUCUUUCGCCAGUGAAGCAGGCCUGCCUCGUUUGUGGGUGGGUUGACGGUAGCUGGAUAAGAAGCGCCGGCUAACUACGUG